CAUUAAAGAAAUAAUCUCGAGGGCCUUUGGAAAGGAGAGAGGGUUGUAGCUGGCGUAAGCACGUGCACGCCCUCUUUCUCGACCUGGGUCCUUAUGGGCGCGGGGCGACCCGCGUCUUCAUAAGCCCCUUCGUGUAGAAAGUCUAUGAAUGUUUUUAUUAUCAUCGACUCGCGACUUCUAGGAGACGCGAUUCUUUGAGACAAAAGUUAUUACAACUUUCAGCAAUGGAUCUCUUGGCUCUCGCAUCGAUGAAGAACGCAGCGAAUCGCGAUAUGUAAUGUGAAUUGCAGAUCUACAGUGAAUCAUCGAAUCUUUGAACGCACCUUGCGCUUAUCGGUGUUCCGAUGAGCAUGCCUGUUUGAGCGUCAUUAAAUUCUCAACCCCUCUCGAUUUGCUUCGAGAGGGUGCUUGGAUUGUGGAGGCUGCCGGAGACCUGUUUUUUCAGGACUCGGGCUCCUCUGAAAUGUAUUGGCUUGCGGUCGACUUUCGACUGUGCAUGACAAGGCCUUUGGCGUGAUAAUGAUCGCCGCUCGCCGAAGUGCACGAACGAAUGGUCUCGUGCCUCUAAUCAGUCGANGCCUUUUCGAAGGCGUCUUCCUUAUUGACGUUGACCU
Molecule: ribosomal RNA, 614 nt
Filed under: Suillus tomentosus
Lineage: Eukaryota; Fungi; Basidiomycota; Agaricomycetes; Boletales; Suillaceae
Description: eukaryotic LSU rRNA
Rfam family: 5.8S ribosomal RNA (bases 214-368)
Source: RNAcentral